AGUGAACGCUGGCGGUAGGCCUAACACAUGCCAGUCGAACGGCAGCACAGUAAGAGCUUGCUCUUACGGGUGGCGAGUGGCGGACGGGUGAGGAAUACAUCGGAAUCUACUUUUUCGGGGGGGAUAACGUAGGGAAACUUACGCUAAUACCGCAUACGACCUACGGGUGAAAGCAGGGGAUCUUCGGACCUUGCGCGAUUGAAUGCGCCGAUGUCGGAUUAGCUAGUUGGCGGGGUAAAGGCCCACCAAGGCGACGAUCCGUAGCUGGUCUGAGAGGAUGAUACGCCACACUGGAACUGAGACACGGUCCAGACUCCUACGGGAGGCAGCAGUGGGGAAUAUUGGACAAUGGGCGCAAGCCUGAUCCAGCCAUACCGCGUGGGUGAAGAAGGCCUUCGGGUUGUAAAGCCCUUUUGUUGGGAAAGAAAAGCAGCAGGUUAAUACCCCGCUGUUCUGACGGUACCCAAUGAAUAAGCACCGGCUAACUUCGUG
Molecule: ribosomal RNA, 492 nt
Filed under: uncultured bacterium
Lineage: Bacteria
Description: partial 16S ribosomal RNA
Rfam family: Bacterial small subunit ribosomal RNA
Source: RNAcentral